RNAcentral lists this ribosomal RNA (465 nucleotides) under Vreelandella stevensii. RNAcentral's name for it is "partial 16S ribosomal RNA". It matches the Rfam family "Bacterial small subunit ribosomal RNA", at positions 338 to 795 of the family's 1533-position model. The record is from RNAcentral. Lineage: Bacteria; Pseudomonadati; Pseudomonadota; Gammaproteobacteria; Oceanospirillales; Halomonadaceae.
CCUACGGGAGGCAGCAGUGGGGAAUAUUGGACAAUGGGCGAAAGCCUGAUCCAGCCAUGCCGCGUGUGUGAAGAAGGCCUUCGGGUUGUAAAGCACUUUCAGUGGGGAAGAAAGCCUUGGGGCUAAUACCCUCGAGGAAGGACAUCACCCACAGAAGAAGCACCGGCUAACUCCGUGCCAGCAGCCGCGGUAAUACGGAGGGUGCGAGCGUUAAUCGGAAUUACUGGGCGUAAAGCGCGCGUAGGCGGUCUGAUAAGCCGGUUGUGAAAGCCCCGGGCUCAACCUGGGAACGGCAUCCGGAACUGUCAGGCUAGAGUGCAGGAGAGGAAGGUAGAAUUCCCGGUGUAGCGGUGAAACGCGUAGAGAUCGGGAGGAAUACCAGUGGCGAAGGCGGCCUUCUGGACUGACACUGACGCUGAGGUGCGAAAGCGUGGGUAGCAAACAGGAUUAGAUACCCCUGUAGUC